RNAcentral lists this long non-coding RNA (460 nucleotides) under Gossypium raimondii (Peruvian cotton). RNAcentral's name for it is "long non-coding RNA (GRAI_LNC008219)". The record is from RNAcentral. Lineage: Eukaryota; Viridiplantae; Streptophyta; Magnoliopsida; Malvales; Malvaceae.
GGCGAUGAGGUUGAGUGAAGGUCGAGGGGGUGGUGCGGGUUGGUUUGCACGCGCGGGUUGCUCGACAAUGAAAGGUGUCAGGGGGGAAACAGGGAAGGAAAGGGAGAAGGGCUCAGGAUGGUUGCGACUGGUGGGACGCGAAGGCUAGGGAAAGGGACCGUGGUUCGAGGUUGAGGGUGUUGCGAUGUGGGAAAAAGAGAGAAAAGAUGGGAGGUGUGGAGGAAGAAGAGAUGGGCACAGGGGGUAGCGAUCUGAAAGAGGGGCAAGGGAGAAAUGAGGAGCUAGGGUGUGGGGGCGUGGGUGGUGGUGCGUGAGGUGGUUGAUUUGGUGAGGGAGUGGGUCGACGACGACGAUGGGGUUCUGGAAGGGAGCGCGGCAGGACUGGCAGAGGGAGGUUCAGCGGCAGUUAUGGGGUUGGGGAGAUUUAGAGAAGGGGAAAGUAAAAAAAAAUUAGGGUUUG